AGUGAACGCUGGCGGCAGGCCUAACACAUGCAAGUCGAGCGGAUGAAGGGAGCUUGCUCCUUGAUUCAGCGGCGGACGGGUGAGUAAUGCCUAGGAAUCUGCCUGGUUGUGGGGGAUAACGUCCUGAAACGGGCGCUAAUACCGCAUACGUCCUGAGGGAGAAAGUGUGGGAGCUUCGGACCUCACGCUAUCAGAUGAUCCUAGGUCGGAUUAGCUAGUUGGUGGGGUAAAGGCCUACCAAGGCGACGAUCCGUAACUGGUCUGAGAGGAUGAUCAGCCACACUGGAACUGAGACACGGUCCAGACUCCUACGGGAGGCAGCAGUGGGGAAUAUUGGACAAUGGGCGAAAGCCUGAUCCAGCCAUGCCGCGUGUGUGAAGAAGGUCUUCGGAUUGUAAAGCCCUUUAAGUUGGGAGGAAAGGCAGUAAGUUAAUACCCUGCUGUUUUGACGUUACCAAAAGAAUAAGCACCGGCUAACUUCGUG
Molecule: ribosomal RNA, 484 nt
Filed under: uncultured bacterium
Lineage: Bacteria
Description: partial 16S ribosomal RNA
Rfam family: Bacterial small subunit ribosomal RNA
Source: RNAcentral